Molecule: long non-coding RNA, 140 nt
Organism: Lutra lutra (Eurasian river otter)
Lineage: Eukaryota; Metazoa; Chordata; Mammalia; Carnivora; Mustelidae
Exons: 3
Source: RefSeq, a predicted model, not a curated record
CCGCCACCCACGUGGCCCGAGUCCCAUCUCCACCCGGGAUGUGGAGCACCUGUGCCUCAGAAACCCUUGUCACCCCCCAAAAGCCAAGGACCACCGAGACCACCUCAACGGCAAAGCCGAGGCCCAGGGGGUGAGCGGGC